RNAcentral lists this ribosomal RNA (380 nucleotides) under uncultured eukaryote. RNAcentral's name for it is "partial 18S ribosomal RNA". It matches the Rfam family "Eukaryotic small subunit ribosomal RNA", at positions 592 to 976 of the family's 1831-position model. The record is from RNAcentral.
CAAUAGCGUAUAUUAAAGUUGUUGCAGUUAAAAAGCUCGUAGUUGGAUUUGUGGCGUACGGUGUGUUCCGGGCACUUGUUGUCUGAGUAACCUGCUGUUGCCAUCCUUGGGUGGAACCUGUGUGGCAUUAGGUUGUCGUGCAGGGGAUGCCCAUCAUUUACUGUGAAAAAAUUAGAGUGUUCAAAGCAGGCUUAUGCCGUUGAAUAUAUUAGCAUGGAAUAAUGAGAUAGGACUUUUUUGCUAUUUUGUUGGUUUGCGCAAAGAGGUAAUGAUUAAUAGGGACAGUUGGGGGUAUUCGUAUCCCAUUGUCAGAGGUGAAAUUCUUGGAUUUUUGGAAGACGAACUACUGCGAAAGCAUUUACCAAGGAUGUUUUCAUUAA